AACGAACGCUGGCGGCAUGCCUAACACAUGCAAGUCGAACGAGACCUUCGGGUCUGGUGGCGCACGGGUGCGUAACGCGUGGGAACCUGCCUUUAGGUUCGGAAUAACUCAGAGAAAUUUGAGCUAAUACCGGAUAAUGUCUUCGGACCAAAGAUUUAUCGCCUUUAGAUGGGCCCGCGUAAGAUUAGCUAGUUGGUGGGGUAAAGGCCUACCAAGGCGACGAUCUUUAGCUGGUCUGAGAGGAUGAUCAGCCACACUGGGACUGAGACACGGCCCAGACUCCUACGGGAGGCAGCAGUGGGGAAUAUUGGACAAUGGGCGAAAGCCUGAUCCAGCAAUGCCGCGUGAGUGAUGAAGGCCUUAGGGUUGUAAAAGCUCUUUUACCCGAGAUGAUAAUGACAGUAUCGGGAGAAUAAGCUCCGGCUAACUCCGUGCCAGCAGCCGCGGUAAU
This 451-nucleotide ribosomal RNA is filed under the name uncultured bacterium. RNAcentral's name for it is "bacterial SSU rRNA". It matches the Rfam family "Bacterial small subunit ribosomal RNA", at positions 29 to 524 of the family's 1533-position model. The record is from RNAcentral.